RNAcentral lists this ribosomal RNA (471 nucleotides) under uncultured bacterium. RNAcentral's name for it is "bacterial SSU rRNA". It matches the Rfam family "Bacterial small subunit ribosomal RNA", at positions 329 to 793 of the family's 1533-position model. The record is from RNAcentral.
CUACGCACUCCUACGGGAGCAGCAGUGGGGAAUAUUGCACAAUGGGCGCAAGCCUGAUGCAGCCAUGCCGCGUGUAUGAAGAAGGCCUUCGGGUUGUAAAGUACUUUCAGCAGUGAGGAAGGUGGGUAUGUUAAUAGCAUAUUCAUUUGACGUUAGCUGCAGAAGAAGCACCGGCUAAACUCCGUGCCAGCAGCCGCGGUAAUACGGAGGGUGCGAGCGUUAAUCGGAAUUACUGGGCGUAAAGCGCAUGCAGGUGGUUUGUUAAGUCAGAUGUGAAAGCCCGGGGCUCAACCUCGGAAUUGCAUUUGAAACUGGCAAACUAGAGUACUGUAGAGGGGGUAGAAUUUCAGGUGUAGCGGUGAAAUGCGUAGAGAUCUGAAGGAAUACCGGUGGCGAAGGCGGCCCCCUGGACAGAUACUGACACUCAGAUGAGAAAGCGUGGGGAGCAAACAGGAUUAGAUACCCUGGUAG